AUCCCAGUAGCUUACUUUUAAAGCAUUGGCCUUGUAAACCAAAGACGGACCCAACCCUCCCUGGGGUA
RNAcentral lists this transfer RNA (68 nucleotides) under Leiolepis reevesii (Reeves' butterfly lizard). Its description in RNAcentral is "tRNA-Thr". It matches the Rfam family "tRNA". From Rfam's summary of the family: Transfer RNA (tRNA) molecules are approximately 80 nucleotides in length. Their secondary structure includes four short double-helical elements and three loops (D, anti-codon, and T loops). The record is from RNAcentral. Lineage: Eukaryota; Metazoa; Chordata; Lepidosauria; Squamata; Agamidae.